GACGAACGCUGGCGGCGUGCUUAACACAUGCAAGUCGUACGGUAAGGCCCUUUCGGGGGUACACGAGUGGCGAACGGGUGAGUAACACGUGAGUAACCUGCCCACAACUUUGGGAUAACGCUAGGAAACUGGUGCUAAUACUGGAUAUGUGCUCCUGCUGCAUGGUGGGGGUUGGAAAGCUCCGGCGGUUGUGGAUGGACUCGCGGCCUAUCAGCUUGUUGGUGGGGUAGUGGCCUACCAAGGCGGCGACGGGUAGCCGGCCUGAGAGGGUGACCGGCCACAUUGGGACUGAGAUACGGCCCAGACUCCUACGGGAGGCAGCGGUGGGGAAUAUUGCACAAUGGGCGCAAGCCUGAUGCAGCAACGCCGCGUGCGGGAGAACGGCCUUCGGGUUGUAAACCGCUUUCAGCAGGGACGAAGCUUUUUGUGACGGUACCUGCAGAAGAAGCACCGGCUAACUACGUG
This 465-nucleotide ribosomal RNA is filed under the name uncultured bacterium. RNAcentral's name for it is "partial 16S ribosomal RNA". It matches the Rfam family "Bacterial small subunit ribosomal RNA", at positions 28 to 507 of the family's 1533-position model. The record is from RNAcentral.